GCUGGCAUGGUGGUACGUGCCUAGUCCCAGCUACUAAGGAGGCUGAGGUGGGAGGAUCGCUUGAACCUAGGAGUUCUGGGCUGUAGUGAGCUGUGCCGAUUGGGUGCCCGCACUGAGUUCAGCAUCAAUAUGGUGACCUCCCGGGAGCAGGGGACCAGCAGGUUGCCCAAGGAGGGGUGAACUGGCCCAGGUCGGAAAUGGAGCAGGUCAAAACUCCCUUGCUGAUCAGUAGUGGGAUUGCGACUGUGAAUAGCCACUACACUCCACACUCCAGCCUGGGCAACAUAGCAAGACCCCGUCUCU
Molecule: signal recognition particle RNA, 303 nt
Filed under: Saimiri boliviensis boliviensis (Bolivian squirrel monkey)
Lineage: Eukaryota; Metazoa; Chordata; Mammalia; Primates; Cebidae
Description: Metazoan signal recognition particle RNA (ENSSBOG00000004571.1)
Rfam family: Metazoan signal recognition particle RNA
About the family: The signal recognition particle (SRP) is a universally conserved ribonucleoprotein. It is involved in the co-translational targeting of proteins to membranes.
Source: RNAcentral